RNAcentral lists this ribosomal RNA (225 nucleotides) under uncultured bacterium. RNAcentral describes it as "partial 16S ribosomal RNA". It matches the Rfam family "Bacterial small subunit ribosomal RNA", at positions 107 to 334 of the family's 1533-position model. The record is from RNAcentral.
UGAGUAAUACAUCGGAACGUGUCUUCUAGUGGGGGAGUAACUGCCCGAAAGGGCAGCUAAUACCGCAUGAGACCUGAGGGUGAAAGCGGGGGAUCGCAAGACCUCGCGCCGGAAGAGCGGCCGAUGUCCGAUUAGCUAGUUGGUGAGGUAAAGGCUCACCAAGGCGACGAUCGGUAGCUGGUCUGAGAGGACGACCAGCCACACUGGGGCUGAGACACGGCCCAG